AAUCCUACGGGAGGCAGCAGUGGGGAAUAUUGGACAAUGGGGGGAACCCUGAUCCAGCGACGCCGCGUGAGUGAAGAAGUAUUUCGGUAUGCAAAGCUCUAUCAGCAGGGAAGAAAAUGGCGGUACCUGACUAAGAAGCCCCGGCUAACUACGUGCCAGCAGCCGCGGUAAUACGUAGGGGGCAAGCGUUAUCCGGCUUUACUGGGUGUAAAGGGAGCGUAGACGGGGCAGCAAGUCUGAAGUGAAAACCCAGGGCUCAACCCUGGGACUGCUUUGGAAACUGUUUUGCUAGAGUGUCGGAGGGG
RNAcentral lists this ribosomal RNA (305 nucleotides) under uncultured bacterium. RNAcentral describes it as "bacterial SSU rRNA". It matches the Rfam family "Bacterial small subunit ribosomal RNA", at positions 335 to 657 of the family's 1533-position model. The record is from RNAcentral.